AGUGAAUAGAUACCCUGGUAGUCCUAGCCGUAAACGAUACUCGCUAGGUGUCGGCCACGGUGCGACCGUUGUCGGUGCCGUAGGGAAAGCCGUGAAGCGAGCCACCUGGGAAGUACGGCCGCAAGGCUGAAACUUAAAGGAAUUGGCGGGGGGAGCACCACAACGGGUGGAGCUUGCGGUUUAAAUUGGAUUCAACGCCGGAAAUCUUACCGGGACCGACAGCAAUAUGAAGGCCAGGCUGAAGACUUUGCCGGAUUAGCUGAGAGGUGGUGCAUGGCCGUCGUCAGUUCGUACUGUGAAGCAUCCUGUUAAGUCAGGCAACGAGCGAGACCCACGCCCACAGUUGCCAGCGUACUCUCUGGAGUGACGGGUACACUGUGGGGACCGCCGCUGCUAAAGCGGAGGAAGGAAUGGGCAACGGUAGGUCAGUAUGCCCCGAAUAUCCCGGGCUACACGCGAGCUACAAUGGUUGGUACAAUGGGUAUCUACCCGAAAGGGGAUGGAAAUCUCCUAAAGCCAAUCUUAGUUCGGAUUGAGGGCUGCAACUCG
This 549-nucleotide ribosomal RNA is filed under the name uncultured bacterium. RNAcentral describes it as "bacterial SSU rRNA". It matches the Rfam family "Archaeal small subunit ribosomal RNA", at positions 725 to 1270 of the family's 1478-position model. The record is from RNAcentral.